AGUGUGGUUAGAACGCAGGCAGGGAGGGGUGGAAACAAUGUCAGUCGCGGGAGUUGUCUGAGGGUUUGCACAGAGGAGUGAGGAGAUCCACCUCAGACUGAUGCCGUGAGACCAGACUGAAGGUGGAGGAGGCAGCAUGGAAAUGGAGACCAGUCAGAAGGCUGAGAGUCUAGGCAAGUCCCAGGAGGCCAGGCAUGGCGGUUCAUGCCCAGCACUUUGGAGGCCGAGGCAGAUGGAUCAUCUGAGGUUGGGAGUUCGAGACCAGCCUGAACAACAUGGAGAAACCCUGUCUCUACUAAAAAUACAAAAAUAGCCAGGCAUGGUGGCACAUGCCUGUAAUUCCAGCUACUCGGGUGGAUGCAGCAGGAGAAUCGCUUGAACCCAGGAGGCGGAGGUUGCGGUGAGCUGAGAUUGCACCAUUGAACUCCAGCCUGGGCAACAAGAGUGAAACUCCUUCCAAAAAAAAAAAAAAAAGUCCCAGGAACAGGUGGUGAUUAUAGGUGAUUUUUCAAACUUUCUCAUAAACAGACUCCAGAAAUUUCUUUUCAGAGGAAAAGCUGUGAAAUUUAGUUU
This 573-nucleotide long non-coding RNA is filed under the name Homo sapiens (human). Its description in RNAcentral is "HSALNT0314419". The record is from RNAcentral. Lineage: Eukaryota; Metazoa; Chordata; Mammalia; Primates; Hominidae.